CUGACAAUGAUAAUAUACAUCACGUUGUAAACCGCUGCGAAAUUUAUCAGUUUUUAAAUGAUAAAAACACAGUUUAAAAUUAUUUUGUUAGUUCCUCCACAUUGUUAUAGUGGAAACACCAUGUAAACCUCGCAAACCUGACGGGAAAAUUCACGUGCGCAAUUUUAGAUUGUCCCCAGCGGUUGGGAUUUCCUUUUCAAAAAGAUUGUUAUAGGAAGUACACAUUGGAUAAAUGCUGCUCUGAUGGACAAAUAUGCCCUCAAGACCAGCCUGGCAAAUGCGAAGUUGACG
This is a long non-coding RNA of Diabrotica virgifera virgifera (western corn rootworm), 291 nucleotides long. RefSeq lists it as uncharacterized. The transcript has 3 exons. The record is from RefSeq and is a predicted model, not a curated record. Lineage: Eukaryota; Metazoa; Arthropoda; Insecta; Coleoptera; Chrysomelidae.